UGUUGUGAUGAAAACCCAUAUCCAAAAGCAUAGUUCAACUGAGACGUCACGUCUUUGAACGAGAACAAUUCCAUCUUUCAAUCUUCUGAAC
Molecule: small nucleolar RNA, 91 nt
Filed under: Fonsecaea erecta
Lineage: Eukaryota; Fungi; Ascomycota; Eurotiomycetes; Chaetothyriales; Herpotrichiellaceae
Description: A. fumigatus snoRNA Afu_263
Rfam family: A. fumigatus snoRNA Afu_263
Source: Rfam by way of RNAcentral